GAUGCUGGGCAAUAUAGUCCAGUAGUGUGGCUAGCAGGAAAAUUAAAGGGGUUUGGUGAAUCCAUUGCUCCUGCCAUCACCCAGAUUAAAGACCUGCCCUCUCAUCCGCAGUCAGGGAUUGAGUGGGCAAGCACUGUGGGCUGCAGACACCAAGCUCCACCAUGAUUCCCCCUCCACUCUCAGAGGCUCCAUCCAGCUGGCAGGCUCACAGCACUGCAGCCCAGCAUCUGAAGUGCUCUGGUUUAUUGCUCCUGUGGUUUCCAUGAAUGAGCUUCUGUUUCCUGCUCCUCUCUCUUUCCACCCACCCUCCCAGAGUGGUCCAUGUCCCAGUAGCAGCUCAUUCCACUUUGUUAGUAUGAGUUGUUGCCUUGAAGGGUGGCUUCAGUGCAUAGAGAAGACUAUCUGUGGCUCCUUGCCUUUUAAAUUACUAAUCAAAAUAUUCAAGUAAAUAAAAUGCCAAACUUAAGAUUUUCCAAAAGUCAUUAUGUUCAACUUACAAGUCUUACUAUUUUAUUUGCAAAUCUAUUUGAACAUUUAUAA
Molecule: long non-coding RNA, 540 nt
Filed under: Homo sapiens (human)
Lineage: Eukaryota; Metazoa; Chordata; Mammalia; Primates; Hominidae
Description: HSALNT0371242
Source: RNAcentral